GAAAAAGGAUGAAACAAAUGAGAAGAUUUAGAUUUUAGUACAACGGCAUGAUCCAAAUUCGAUAUGUAUAAGAGGGAGAACCUUGUGUGUCGUUGAAAUACCCUUCUUGAUUGUAUAAAGAAUCUAACUAAUUAAUCUUAGCCGAUUUGAAUUUCUGACCACAUAUGAGUACUUGUGAUGUUAUUUUUCUCUAAGUCUGUGUGUGUGAGUUGCUUCGCAUUUCAAAUGUUUUCUAUAUGCAAGCUAAAUUGCUUGAGGACAA
Molecule: long non-coding RNA, 262 nt
Filed under: Trifolium pratense (red clover)
Lineage: Eukaryota; Viridiplantae; Streptophyta; Magnoliopsida; Fabales; Fabaceae
Description: long non-coding RNA (TPRA_LNC013944)
Source: RNAcentral